Molecule: long non-coding RNA, 497 nt
Organism: Schistocerca gregaria
Lineage: Eukaryota; Metazoa; Arthropoda; Insecta; Orthoptera; Acrididae
Exons: 2
Source: RefSeq, a predicted model, not a curated record
AGAUGCAGUACACUGGUGCUGGUAUGAAUCCGGCACGCUCGUUCGGACCUGCUUUCGUUACGGAAUCUUGGACAAACCAUUGGGUGUACUGGGUGGGACCGUGCGUAGGCGGUGUUGCUGCGGGUAUCGUCUACCAGUACUUCAGACCAGAAGAGCCUGUCGAUGCAUCGGAGAGUAGGGCUUCUCCAGGCCAAGCUUCUGGUGUGGCCUCGGGGGUAGCGGAACGGAAUGUAUAAGCACGGACCAAAAAUGUAAUGCUCUUGACAACAUGGCAUUGUCCAGUUUCUGCCUGAACUACGUGGACGAGUGUGUAAACGUAAUUAAGCCUGAUGUUAAGAGAAUGCAUACUAGAACUCGCCUAUUUCGCUAGGCGUGGCAAGGACAUACAAUGGAUGUAAAAUUUUAAUGUGAAACAUUUACAAUGUACUGAGAUUUUAUGCUCCAGUGUACUUUUAAAUGUUGCCCACGUUCAAUAAAUACAGCAUGUCGAAAACUAG